GCUUUAUGGUAUAUUUGUUUCGGUCUGGAAAUUUUCAAUUCUUAAAGUGACGAAAAUAAAACACAUUGCAAUUGGCAACCAGAUUUAGGUCUUGAAAUGGGCAUGAUAAUUUCAUCUAGUUCUCUUUUAUCAUUUACAAAACAUAGCAAAACAAUCAUACCAAACUCAGGCAGACGCAUAGCAAGCUUAGAUAAUUAUCUAUUUCAGGUACAUGCACUGCUCCAAGUAAAGCCAAGCACUCAUGUUUGGGCUUUUCAGACAUGAGAAUUUGAUAAAUAGGUCAUGAAUGAAAGUCUUUCGCAAUUAUGAUUAGUCAUCUUCCACAUAAUGUUUCCACCUUGAACAAUGUUUCCAACGCAAAUUCAUAAAAACUCAAAUCACAAUGUUUCCUAAAGAUACAUUACAAGUACACUUAAAAUCCCACUACAAAUAAAUUUUAUGAAUACAAGUGAAGUCUCACAUCAUGGGGGAAACAUCUUAACAAAUUACUAAAAAUUCUCUAACUUAUCUCUGCACCUCAUUAAGAUCCCAUUUCCUCCAAUAUGAAGCAGAAAAAUCUCAAAUCCUUUCAAAAUCAUAAUAACAUUAAGAUUUCAGUAUUGUCAUCUUAUUGGGAUUGAGUUAUGUUCUUGGCCUCUUGUGGACUGAAGUGCGAUUUUCAAGGAUUUAUCUAUAUCUGAUUUGAAGAUGAAUUAGGAAGCUCUUCUAAGGUGAAAUCUUUCCUGUUCUGUAUUUUACGUCUCAUUUUUUUUUAAUUAAUAAAAUCUUUUUUCUAAUGAAAACUGAAAUAAAGUAAAACUAAGCAAAUUUAAAACAUAAAAAACUUAC
This 828-nucleotide long non-coding RNA is filed under the name Carica papaya (papaya). RNAcentral describes it as "long non-coding RNA (CPAP_LNC013323)". The record is from RNAcentral. Lineage: Eukaryota; Viridiplantae; Streptophyta; Magnoliopsida; Brassicales; Caricaceae.